GACAGAGGUGCCGAGCGUUAGGCGGAAUCACUGGGCUUAAAGGGCGCGUAGGCGGGUGUGCAAGUCUGUGGUGAAAGCCUCCAGCUUAACUGGAGAAGUGCCGUGGAUACUGCGCAUCUUGAGGAGGGUAGGGGCAUCUGGAACGGUCGGUGGAGCGGUGAAAUGCGUUGAUAUCGGAAGGAACGCCGGUGGCGAAAGCGGUCCGCUGGCCCUCUACUGACGCUGAGGCGCGAAAGCCAGGGGAGCAAACGGG
Molecule: ribosomal RNA, 253 nt
Filed under: uncultured bacterium
Lineage: Bacteria
Description: partial 16S ribosomal RNA
Rfam family: Bacterial small subunit ribosomal RNA
Source: RNAcentral